Molecule: non-coding RNA, 573 nt
Organism: Chelonia mydas (Green sea turtle)
Lineage: Eukaryota; Metazoa; Chordata; Testudines; Cheloniidae
Source: the annotation of a RefSeq genome assembly
GACACAGUCCACAGACCCCUGGGUCUGUGCAGUCACCAGCCAGUCCCCUGAGAACUUUCCCCUCCAGCACCCGGCAAAAUGGGAUUUUUGCUCCUUGUCAUUGUCGCUGUAGCCGCUUUGGAAGGUGUCCGGUCCCAGACGCUGGUGGAGUCCGGAGGGGGUGUGAAAAAGCCCGGAGACUCUCUCCGCCUCUCCUGCAAAGCCUCCGGCUUCACCUUCAGCAGCUACGACAUGAGCUGGGUCCGCCAGGCUCCCGGGAAAGGAUUAGAAUGGGUCGCUGCUAUAAGCUAUGAUGGGAGUACUACAUACUACCUUGAUUCAGUGAAAGGGCGAUUCACCAUCUCCAGGGAUAACUCCAAGAGUGAGCUGUAUCUGCAAAUGACCGGCCUGAAGCCCGAGGACACCGCCCGCUAUUACUGUGCGGGAGACACAGUGAAACGAAACCGGUUUGUGAUCAUCCUAGAUGGGGAAGAGAAAUUUGAUAACGGGCUCUUCAGUCUGGCAGACAAAGGGUACAACAGGAUCCGAUGCUGGAAGCUGAAGCUAGAUAAUGUCCAGCUGGAAAGAAGGUGA